RNAcentral lists this ribosomal RNA (889 nucleotides) under uncultured bacterium. Its description in RNAcentral is "bacterial SSU rRNA". It matches the Rfam family "Bacterial small subunit ribosomal RNA", at positions 616 to 1502 of the family's 1533-position model. The record is from RNAcentral.
UGGAACUGCCUUCAAAACUACAUUUCUUGAGUUUGGUAGAGGAGAGUGGAAUUCCUAGUGUAGAGGUGAAAUUCGUAGAUAUUAGGAGGAACACCAGUGGCGAAGGCGACUCUCUGGGCCAAUACUGACGCUGAGGUUCGAAAGCAUGGGUAGCGAACAGGAUUAGAUACCCUGGUAGUCCAUGCAGUAAACGAUGAGUGCUAGAUGUUGGGAAUUUAAAUUUCCAGUAUCGCAGUUAACGCGUUAAGCACUCCGCCUGGGAAGUACGGCCGCAAGGCUAAAACUCAAAUGAAUUGACGGGGACCCGCACAAGCGGUGGAUCAUGUGGUUUAAUUCGAAGAUACGCGAAGAACCUUACCGGCUCUUGACAUACCAAUCGCGGACUUAAGAGAUUAAGUCUUUCACUUCGGGUGGAUUGGAUACAGGUGCUGCAUGGCUGUCGUCAGCUCGUGUCGUGAGAUGUUGGGUUAAGUCCCGCAACGAGCGCAACCCUUACCUUCAAUUGCCAGCACAUUAUGGUGGGAACUUUGAAGGAACUGCCGGUGAUAAGCCGGAGGAAGGUGGGGAUGACGUCAAGUCCUCAUGGCCCUUACGGGCCGGGCUACACACGUGAUACAAUGGUAACUACAAAGGGCAGCGAAGGAGCGAUCUGGAGCAAAUCUCAAAAAGUUACCUCAGUUCGGAUUGCACUCUGCAACUCGAGUGCAUGAAGUUGGAAUCGCUAGUAAUCGUAGAUCAGCGCGCUACGGUGAAUACGUUCCCGGGUCUUGUACACACCGCCCGUCACACCAUGGGAGUUGGUUUUACCUGAAGCUGGUUCGCUAACCGUAAGGAGGCAGCCAACCACGGUAAGAUUAGCGACUGGGGUGAAGUCGUAACAAGGUAGCCG